RNAcentral lists this transfer RNA (76 nucleotides) under bacterium. RNAcentral's name for it is "tRNA-Asn". It matches the Rfam family "tRNA". Rfam says of the family: Transfer RNA (tRNA) molecules are approximately 80 nucleotides in length. Their secondary structure includes four short double-helical elements and three loops (D, anti-codon, and T loops). The record is from RNAcentral.
UCCCCGGUAGCUCAGUCGGUAGAGCGAGUGGCUGUUAACCACUUUGUCGAUGGUUCGAGUCCGUCCCGGGGAGCCA